This 490-nucleotide ribosomal RNA is filed under the name uncultured bacterium. RNAcentral's name for it is "partial 16S ribosomal RNA". It matches the Rfam family "Bacterial small subunit ribosomal RNA", at positions 30 to 507 of the family's 1533-position model. The record is from RNAcentral.
AUUGAACGCUGGCGGCAGGCCUAACACAUGCAAGUCGAACGGUAACAGGAAGCAGCUUGCUGCUUCGCUGACGAGUGGCGGACGGGUGAGUAAUGUCUGGGAAGCUGCCUGAUGGAGGGGGAUAACUACUGGAAACGGUAGCUAAUACCGCAUAAUGUCGCAAGACCAAAGAGGGGGACCUUAGGGCCUCUUGCCAUCGGAUGUGCCCAGAUGGGAUUAGCUUGUUGGUGGGGUAACGGCUCACCAAGGCGACGAUCCCUAGCUGGUCUGAGAGGAUGACCAGCCACACUGGAACUGAGACACGGUCCAGACUCCUACGGGAGGCAGCAGUGGGGAAUAUUGCACAAUGGGCGCAAGCCUGAUGCAGCAAUGCCGCGUGUAUGAAGAAGGCCUUCGGGUUGUAAAGUACUUUCAGCGGGGAGGAAGGGAGUAAAGUUAAUACCUUUGCUCAUUGACGUUACCCGCAGAAGAAGCACCGGCUAACUCCGUG